Acyrthosiphon pisum (pea aphid) is the source of this 162-nucleotide non-coding RNA. Lineage: Eukaryota; Metazoa; Arthropoda; Insecta; Hemiptera; Aphididae. The record is from Rfam.
AUACUUACUUGGUGUCGAGGUCAACCGUGAUCACCGAGGCGGUUCCUCUAGGACGAGACCGUUCCAUUGCACAUCGGGACGGUUGACCCCUGCGAGUAUUCCAAAUAGGAAUAUCUCGGGCACGUAAUUUUUGGUAGCGGGACUGCGUUCGCGCCGUCCCUG